Non-coding RNA from Populus trichocarpa (black cottonwood), 145 nucleotides. Lineage: Eukaryota; Viridiplantae; Streptophyta; Magnoliopsida; Malpighiales; Salicaceae. The record is from Rfam.
UAACAUAUAUGUGGCAUAUCCUCAUAUAGUUGUGUCAGACUCAUAUCUAGUUGCUCAGAAUCAUCCGUUGUCGCAAGCUCAAUUACAUCAUUAACACUUAUAAGACAUAUUUGGAAAAUAAUUUCACAAAAUCAUAGUUUUUGUA